This 500-nucleotide ribosomal RNA is filed under the name uncultured bacterium. Its description in RNAcentral is "bacterial SSU rRNA". It matches the Rfam family "Bacterial small subunit ribosomal RNA", at positions 29 to 521 of the family's 1533-position model. The record is from RNAcentral.
AUUGAACGCUGGCGGCGUGCCUAACACAUGCAAGUCGAGCGGUAACAGGUGUAGCAAUACAUGCUGACGAGCGGCGAACGGGUGAGUAAUGCUUCGGAAUCUGCCCAAUGGUGGGGAAUAACCAGCCGAAAGGUUGGCUAAUACCGCAUGAGCCCUAAGGGGGAAAGCAGGGGAUCGUAAGACCUUGCGCCGAUGGAUGAGCCGAAGUCGGAUUAGCUAGUUGGCAGGGUAACGGCCUACCAAGGCGACGAUCCGUAGCUGGUCUGAGAGGACGACCAGCCACACUGGGACUGAGACACGGCCCAGACUCCUACGGGAGGCAGCAGUGGGGAAUAUUGGACAAUGGGGGAAACCCUGAUCCAGCGACGCCGCGUGUGUGAAGAAGGCCUGCGGGUUGUAAAGCACUUUUAGUGGGGAUGAAAAGCUCAGGGUUAAUACCUUUGGGUCUUGACCUAACCCACAGAAAAAGCACCGGCUAACUCUGUGCCAGCAGCCGCGGU